This 446-nucleotide ribosomal RNA is filed under the name uncultured bacterium. Its description in RNAcentral is "bacterial SSU rRNA". It matches the Rfam family "Bacterial small subunit ribosomal RNA", at positions 32 to 472 of the family's 1533-position model. The record is from RNAcentral.
AAUCAACGCUGGCGGCGUGCCUAACACAUGCAAGUCGAACGCGAAAGGGGCCUCGGCCCUGAGUAGAGUGGCGAACGGGUGAGUAACACGUGGGUGAUCUACCUUCGAGUGGGGAAUACCGUCCGGAAACGGACGCUAAUACCGCAUAAUGCAGCGGCAUCGUAAGAUGACAGUUGUUAGAGAUUUUAUCGCUUGAAGAGGAGCUUGCGGCAGAUUAGCUAGNGGUAAGGUAAUGGCUUACCAAGGCUACGAUCUGUAACCGGUCUUAGAGGACGGUCGGUCACACUGACACUGAAUAACGGGUCAGACUCCUACGGGAGGCAGCAGUCGGGAAUUUUGGGCAAUGGGCGAAAGCCUGACCCAGCAACGCCGCGUGAAGGAUGAAGUAUUUCGGUAUGUAAACUUCGAAAGAAUAGGAAGAAUCAAUGACGUACUAUUUAUAAGGU